UGGCAAAAGUACAAUGCCCAGCAUUACGAAUCAUAUGCAGCAUGAACAUAUAACAUAUAUAUGGAUGAGUUAGAUCGACAUCAGUAGGUCCUAUUCAACCCUAUUCCUGCAUGGUUUUGGGCCUCAGCUUACUUAGUUGGCGAGGGUCCGAAUAGAAAUUGUUUCGCUCUGAUUGGCUGGCGAUUCACUGCUGAGACAGGAUUCACUACGAAGUUCGACACGCAGUAAAAUGGUGGAGGAACGAGCGCUUAUUUAGGGAGGAAGAGAAACGUGCAGAUAUAGGAUCUAAGUACAAUACAUGCAUAUAUAUAUAAAAUGUGAAACAUGCACGACCGAAAGAAAACUUCGGGAGCUGAUUGUAUGCCUAAAAAAAACAAUAGAAAAAAAUCAUACUGGUACAUAAACACGUGUCUCGUCUGCCUUCGUUUAUAAGAGAGUCUGCUACGUUCGUAAAAUUCAUUGUAUUCAUCACAAACGAUGACAGACAGAACCUGCAUAUAUUUAUGAUUUACGACCUUUUUUCAUUGUUCUCUAGGCGUGUACCCCCAACACGCGCGCGCACGCACACACCAUAUAUUGUAUACUAAGUAUGUAUUAUCGUAUGUACAUAUACAUGUACACGUGACGUAUACUAUAGGAUACGUUGCGCAAUAAAUAUCAUUUCGGUGGGAAUGUCCCCCUA
Long non-coding RNA from Megalopta genalis, 682 nucleotides. RefSeq lists it as uncharacterized. NCBI's taxonomy places the organism in Eukaryota, Metazoa, Arthropoda, Insecta, Hymenoptera, Halictidae. The record is from RefSeq and is a predicted model, not a curated record.